AAGAGAAAGAAGGAAGAUGCAGCAACAGAGGAACACUUUAGAAUAAAAUAGGAUACGCCGGUGGUAAGCAGUAGACUCCGUGCUUGUGCUCGGGUGGCGGGAAGCCAAAGCUGCGAACCCCUGGCUCAGAUGGGCCGCAGUUAGUGCGUGGCCUGGAGAUGGGAUACCGAACGCUUCCAUCGGCCAGCCAGCCGCCGUCACAGUGGUCCAGCCCGGUGAACUUCCAGGCAGCAUAGAGCUGCCCGACUUUAGCGAUCUCUGCUCCGUCCCCCUGGCACGCCCGCUGAGCCUCGGUCAGAUUCAUCUUGUGUGAUGGCUGAUGAUAGUAGACUCUCCCUUCGAAGCAAACACAUUUGUUGUGACAUGUGGAGAUAUUUCUGCAGAUUCUGAAACAUUCGACCAGAGUUCGUUCCAGAUCAUGCACCCAGAAAAAGAGACCACCUCACCUCGGAGUGAUGAGGAGAAGCAGAAGACAUCGUAGCGCUGACGGUGCCGGUGACGUCUGCCGUAGCUCCGGACUCCAGGGGCCACGUUGUGCCCGCCGCACUCCGUCCUGGGUCGGGUGAUG
This is a long non-coding RNA of Mugil cephalus (flathead mullet), 568 nucleotides long. RefSeq lists it as uncharacterized. The transcript is spliced from 3 exons. The record is from RefSeq and is a predicted model, not a curated record. Lineage: Eukaryota; Metazoa; Chordata; Actinopteri; Mugiliformes; Mugilidae.